Molecule: long non-coding RNA, 405 nt
Organism: Syngnathoides biaculeatus (alligator pipefish)
Lineage: Eukaryota; Metazoa; Chordata; Actinopteri; Syngnathiformes; Syngnathidae
Exons: 3
Source: RefSeq, a predicted model, not a curated record
AAAAAAAAAAAAAAAAAGACUUUGAUCUUGGAACCGGAACCAGAACCAGGAUACGCAACACAUCGCUCGACAUGAAGGAGGCCGCGUACCGGGUGGUCCCGGGGGCCCUGCAACAGACAUUUGAGGAACGUUAGACGGCGUGAAGUAAACCUGAACCGGGAGUGGCUUUGAGCAGCUUUCUUUCCCGGAUCUGCAAAAACUGCCGUUUGCUUCCAGCAUCCACGGACCCGUGAAGGUGGACCUCGUCUUACCGGCACCAUGGAGUAGCUCGAGCGCCUCGCUCCUCUUGUUCCUGGAGUAGCCGUACUGAGUUUUCCCGGCAGCCAUCUGCGCCGCCGCCCGUUCUCGGGGCACCUCCCGGAGGAACUCCACCACUGAGCUCUGCUCCACCUCGGUCAGCCUGGC